ACCUACAAGCGGUGGAUCACUCGAAUUA
Molecule: ribosomal RNA, 28 nt
Filed under: Oligonychus perseae (avocado spider mite)
Lineage: Eukaryota; Metazoa; Arthropoda; Arachnida; Trombidiformes; Tetranychidae
Also listed under: 1 other name
Description: partial 5.8S ribosomal RNA
Source: RNAcentral